RNAcentral lists this ribosomal RNA (537 nucleotides) under uncultured bacterium. RNAcentral's name for it is "bacterial SSU rRNA". It matches the Rfam family "Bacterial small subunit ribosomal RNA", at positions 359 to 917 of the family's 1533-position model. The record is from RNAcentral.
GGAUUGGAANUGGGCGCAGCCUGAUCCAGCAAUGCCGCGUGAGUGAUGAAGGCCUUCGGGUUGUAAAGCUCUUUCGCACGCGAGGAUGAUGACGCUAGCGUGAGAAGAAGCCCCGGCUAACUUCGUGCCAGCAGCCGCGGUAAUACGAAGGGGGCGAGCGUUGUUCGGAUUUACUGGGCGUAAAGGGCGCGUAGGCGGUACAGGAAGUCGAGUGUGAAAGCCCCGGGCUCAACCUGGGAAUGGCGCUCGAGACUCUUGUGCUUGAGUUCGGGAGAGGAGCGUGGAAUUCCCAGUGUAGAGGUGAAAUUCGUAGAUAUUGGGAAGAACACCGGUGGCGAAGGCGGCGCUCUGGACCGAGACUGACGCUGAGGCGCGAAAGCGUGGGGAGCAAACAGGAUUAGAUACCCUGGUAGUCCACGCGGUAAACGAUGUGUGCUAGACGUUGGGGAGCCUAGCUCUUCGGUGUCGCCGCAAACGCUUUAAGCACACCGCCUGGGGAGUACGGCCGCAAGGUUAAAACUCAAAAAAAUUGACGGA